Molecule: ribosomal RNA, 489 nt
Filed under: uncultured bacterium
Lineage: Bacteria
Description: partial 16S ribosomal RNA
Rfam family: Bacterial small subunit ribosomal RNA
Source: RNAcentral
GACGAACGCUGGCGGCGUGCCUAACACAUGCAAGUCGAGCGGAAAUAAUUGAAAGCUUGCUUUUGGUUAUUUUAGCGGCGGACGGGUGAGUAACGCGUGGGCAACCUGCCUGUUACAGGGGGAUAACACAGGGAAACUUGUGCUAAUACCGCAUAACACAGCGAGGUAGCAUUACCUUGUUGUCAAGGGAGAAAUCCGGUGACAUAUGGGCCCGCGUCCAAUUAGGUAGUUGGUGAUGUAACGGACCACAAAGGCGACGAUUGGUAGCCGAACUGAGAGGUUGAUCGGCAACAGUGGGACUGAGACACGGCCCAGACUCCUACGGGAGGCAGCAGUGGGGAAUAUUGCACAAUGGGGGAAACCCUGAUGCAGCAACGCCGCGUGGAGGAUGAAGGUUUUCGGAUUGUAAACUUCUUUAGUCAGGGACGAAAAAAAUGACGGUACCUGAAGAAUAAGCCACGGCUAACUACGUGCCAGCCGCCGCGGUAA